CUACGGGCGGCUGCAGUGGGGAAUAUUGCACAAUGGGCGCAAGCCUGAUGCAGCGACGCCGCGUGGGGGAUGAAGGCCUUCGUGUUGUAAACUCCUUUCGCUAGGGACGAAGCAUUAUGUGACGGUACCUGGCGAAGAAGCACCGGCUAACUACGUGCCAGCAGCCGCGGUAAUACGUAGGGUGCGAGCGUUGUCCGGAUUUACUGGGCGUAAAGGGCUCGUAGGUGGUGUGUCGCGUCGUCUGUGUAACCCAGGGGCUUAACUUUUGGUUGGCAGGCGAUACGGGCAUUGCUUGAGUGCUGUAGGGGAGACUGGAAUUCCUGGUGUAGCGGUGAAAUGCGCAGAUAUCAGGAGGAACACCGAUGGCGAAGGCAGGUCUCUGGGCAGUUACUGACGCUGAGGAGCGAGAGCAUGGGUAGCGAACAGGAUUAGAUACCCCUGUAGU
Molecule: ribosomal RNA, 445 nt
Filed under: Pseudomonas aeruginosa
Lineage: Bacteria; Pseudomonadati; Pseudomonadota; Gammaproteobacteria; Pseudomonadales; Pseudomonadaceae
Description: bacterial SSU rRNA
Rfam family: Bacterial small subunit ribosomal RNA
Source: RNAcentral